UAACAGGAAAUUUAAGGGCGUACGGUGGAUGCCUUGACUUUAAGAGGCGAUGAAGGACGUAGCGUUGCUGCGAUAAGCUUCGGGGAGGUGCUUAGCUACCUUUGAUCCGGAGAUUUCCGAAUGGGGAAACCCUGUCUGAUUUAAAUCGGAUAAUUUUUAUUUUUAUGAUAAAAAAGCAUACCCUGGGAAGUGAAACAUCUCAGUACCAGGAGGAAUAGAAACAAAUAUGUAUUUCCUUAGUAGCGGCGAGCGAAAAGGAAGAAGCCCAAACCAGAGUCGUAAGACUCUGGGGUUGUAAGAUGACAAUGUAGUUUACUAGAGGAGUCAAAAAAUAAGUUAUUAGCUUAAGUUGCUGGAAAGCAACACCAUAGGAGGUGAUAGUCCCGUGAGCGAAAAUAAUUUAUCUCUUUUAUUGUUAUUCUUGAGUACCCCAGGACAUGAAUGGCCGGGGGGAAUCCAGCGGAACUAACCGCUAAGGCUAAAUACUCUUAAAGAUCGAUAGUGAACUAGUACCGUGAGGGAAAGGUGAAAAGCAGCCCGAUUAGGGCGGUGAAAUAGACCUGAAACCGUAUGUCUACAAGGAGUUGGAGUGGUGAGUUUAUUCGAACCACAACAGCGUGCCUAUUGAAGAAUGAGCCAACGAGUUUAUGCAUACUGCUGGCUAAGCUGGUUAAAACAGCGCAGCCAUAGGGAAACCGAGUGUUAAUAGCGCGUAAUUGGUAGAAUGCAUAAGACCCGAAGCCAGGUGAGCUUGCCAUGAGCAGGAUGAAGUAGGUCGAAAGACUUAUGGAGGUCCGAACGGGUAGAUCGUACAACGUCUUCCGAUGACUUGUGGUAAGGAGUGAAAAGCUAAUCGAACCUGGUAAUAGCUGGUUCUCUCCGAAAUAGCUUUAGGGCUAGCGUCGUGUGUUUCUUUUGGGGGUAGAGCACUGGAAGGUUUCGACAGGGAGCAAUCUCGCGAAACCUAUCAAACUCCGAAUACUAGAGACCAUAGCUUGGCAGUUAGGCCAUGGGGGCGAAGCUCCAUUGGCCAAAAGGGAAACAGCCCGGAUCUCGAAAUAAGGUCCCUAAAUUUAUGCUAAGUGUAAGACAAGAAGGUGAUAUUUCUUUAACAAUGAGGAGGUUGGCUUAGAAGCAGCCAUCCUUUAAAGAUAGCGUAACAGCUCACUCAUCUAGAGAUUUUGCGUCGAAAAUAAUUGGGGCUAAGCAUAGUACCGAAUUUGAGGAUGUGAUUUUCCUUUGGGAAAAUUACGUGGUAGGAGAGUGUUCCAAUCUGCUGUGAAGGAAGACUCGUGAGAGCUUCUGGAGCGUUUGGAAGUAAGAAUGUUGGCACAAGUAACCGCAAUGGGGUUGAGAACGCCCCACGUCGAAAGAUCAAGGUUUCCUUGGUAAUGUCAAUCAGCCAAGGGUUAGUCGGGCCUAAGGGAAUGGCGAAAGCCGUACUCGAUGGACACAGGGUUAAUAUUCCCUGACUUUUAUAUUUAGUGACGGGAUGACGGAGUGCAGUAUGUAUCGCUCAUUAUUGGAUUUGAAGUUUGUUUAUUUAGGAUGAGGUGUAGGAAAAUCCGCACCCUGCUUUUAAUGGCGAAUCCAAGGUAAAUAAAAAGUUUUCCAUUUCGGUGGAGAAUAAUGAUACAAAGCGCGCUUCCAAGAAAAAUCUCUAAACUUAUAAAUAUAAAAUCCGUACCGCAAACCGACACAGGUGAUCAGGUCGAGUAGACCAAGACGAACGAGUGAGUGGUCCCCAAGGAACUCGGCAAAAAAGCAGCCGUAACUUCGGGAUAAGGCUUGCCCUUCGGCUCUCUUUUCUCUAUGUUCAAAGAUAGCUUCAGGGCUUUCAGCCCUUUAUAUAAGGGUCGAAGAUCCUGAGCAAACAAUGAACGUAGUGAGGAGUGAGCCGAAGGGCCGCAGCGAAAGUAUCUCUGGCAACUGUUUACCAAAAACACAGCUCCCUGCGAACUCGCAAGAGGAUGUAUAGGGGGUGACACCUGACCAAUGCCAGAAGGUCAAACAACGACGUUGGAUGAUAGUAAUAUUAUUUGGUGAUUGUUGUAAGCCCUGGUGAAUGUCGGCCGUAACUAUAACGGUCCUAAGGUAGCGAAAUACCUUGUCGGGUAAGUUCCGACGCGCACGAAUGGUGUAAUGACUGGAGAACUGUCUCGGGGACCAGCUCGGUGAAAAUACAAUACCGGUGAAGAUGCCGGUUAAGUGCAGUUAGACGAAAAGACCCUAGAAGCUUUACUAUAACUUUAUAUUGAGCAUGUUUUUGGACUGCGUAGAAUAGAUGGGAGAGGUCUGAUGUUUACGGUUUUGGCUGUAAUCUACUCGUCAGUGAAAUACCAUUCUUUUUGAAGGCAUGUUCUAACCAAUACGGCAAAAACGUAUUGAGACAGUAUAUGGUGGAUAGUUUUACUGGGGCUGUACCCUCGAGGGUUUAAGUACCCCAUAGGAAUUUCCUAUGGGGUAAGAUUUGAACCUUCGAAUUUUACAGCUCCAAGAGAUUUUUCUAUUCUGUAAUAUCCGUUGCAAAAAAAUUUCAAAAACAAAAAUAGGGGGGCUUUCAUGAGUAAUCAUGAUUAGAAAAAGUUAGCUAUAUCGGUGGAAGUCUUAUAUUAUAGUAAGAUUAUACCGAGGGAAGUUGUAAAUUUUGUAGAGGAAGGGAGAUUUUGGUGUACGGGGCACAUCCUUGGAUUAAAUUCCAAGUUCUUCUGGUCAGCAGGUCUCAAUUAGUGCAAGUCAACUAUAUGAUUGCACCGUACGGGAUACUCCACCAUAAGGACAGGUAAGGAGUGGGUUCUACUCCCACGUCUCUCUCCUCGCCAUCUUGAAGCGAUGUUUAAAUUAGCAUCGCUUCCUCUACAAAGUUUACAACACCCGUAGAGACUAAACGCUAACCUUCCUAAAAAAAGGAAGAAGAUAUAGUCCGAUCUAUAUGGCGACAUAUAGGGUGUUUUUACUCCAAAAACAUCAGUGUCAAAGAUGCCCUUUGACAUGUAACAAAAAUGCCUAAAAAGUAAAGGAGGGGUUUAAAGGUAAUCUAGGCGCGAAUGGAAACCGUGCCGAUAGUGUAAUGGCACAAGAUUGCUUGACUGUAAGAGGUACAUCUCGAGCAGGUACGAAAGUAGAACAUAGUGAACCGACCACCCGUAUUAGACGCGGUGGAAGAUUAACGGAUAAAAGCUACUCUAGGGAUAACAGGCUAGUUCCGCCCAAGAGUUCAUAUCGACGGCGGAGUUCGGCACCUCGAUGUCGGCUCACCUUAGCGCGGCGGUGGAGAAGCUGCCAAGCGUUUGGCUGUUCGCCAAUUAAAAAGGUACGCGAGCUGGGUUCAGACCGUACUGAAGCGGAAAUUUAUUU
Molecule: ribosomal RNA, 3357 nt
Filed under: Candidatus Omnitrophota bacterium
Lineage: Bacteria; Pseudomonadati; Candidatus Omnitrophota
Description: Candidatus Omnitrophica bacterium partial 23S ribosomal RNA
Rfam family: Bacterial large subunit ribosomal RNA
Source: RNAcentral